Molecule: ribosomal RNA, 112 nt
Filed under: Rhizophagus irregularis
Lineage: Eukaryota; Fungi; Glomeromycota; Glomeromycetes; Glomerales; Glomeraceae
Source: RNAcentral
CAGUCGUACUUACGGGUAAUCAGCCUUUUGGGUGUGAUUUUGUGGAGCGUGAGGAGUUAAACGCCUUCAUGCCUGCAUAUUCGUGCACUUUGGGUCGUACCUGUCCGUGUGG